This 253-nucleotide ribosomal RNA is filed under the name uncultured bacterium. RNAcentral's name for it is "partial 16S ribosomal RNA". It matches the Rfam family "Bacterial small subunit ribosomal RNA", at positions 524 to 776 of the family's 1533-position model. The record is from RNAcentral.
UACGAAGGGGGCUAGCGUUGCUCGGAAUUACUGGGCGUAAAGGGAGCGUAGGCGGACAUUUAAGUCAGGGGUGAAAUCCCGGGGCUCAACCUCGGAAUUGCCUCUGAUACUGGGUGUCUUGAGUAUGAGAGAGGUAUGUGGAACUCCGAGUGUAGAGGUGAAAUUCGUAGAUAUUCGGAAGAACACCAGUGGCGAAGGCGACAUACUGGCUCAUUACUGACGCUGAGGCUCGAAAGCGUGGGGAGCAAACAGG